Molecule: unclassified non-coding RNA, 273 nt
Filed under: uncultured Paraglomus
Lineage: Eukaryota; Fungi; Glomeromycota; Glomeromycetes; Paraglomerales; Paraglomeraceae
Description: sequence contains 18S rRNA gene
Rfam family: Eukaryotic small subunit ribosomal RNA
Source: RNAcentral
AGCAGCCGCGGUAAUUCCAGCUCCAAUAGCGUAUAUUAAAGUUGUUGCAGUUAAAAGCUCGUAGUUGAAUUUCGGGAUCAAUUAAUCGGUCGUGCCUCUGGUACGCACUGGUUUUAUUGGUUUCUCCCUUCUGACGAACCAGGAUGUCAUUAAUUUGGUGUCUUGGAGAAUCAGGACUGUUACUUUGAAAAAUUAGAGUGUUUAAAGCAGGCUAACGCUUGAAUACAUUAGCAUGGAAUAAUGGAAUAGGACGUUUGAUCCUAUUUUGUGUUU